GGAUUGCUACAGCAAAGCCUUACAGGAGCUCUUUCAGGCAGUCACAUGUGCUCCGAGGCUGGACAGUGCAGGUGGAUGGGAAUGCAGCCCUGGUCUCAGUGAGAAUGAACACAAUGUGGAGGAAACUGGCUCGAUGUUGGAUGGCCAGAAUCAGUUCCACACAGAGUCAGAUGUGACCCUGCCCUCCAACCUAGCAAGGGCUUCGGCCUCUGAUGUGACUGAGACCACAGCGCCC
Long non-coding RNA from Megalops cyprinoides (Indo-Pacific tarpon), 235 nucleotides. RefSeq lists it as uncharacterized. NCBI's taxonomy places the organism in Eukaryota, Metazoa, Chordata, Actinopteri, Elopiformes, Megalopidae. The record is from RefSeq and is a predicted model, not a curated record. The transcript is spliced from 3 exons.